GCAGGUCGGUGGAAGGUCCGGUGCAUGCAGAGCUCCCCCGGCUCUGCAGUGGGCUCAGGCCCUUGGGAGUCCUGCUGUGGGCUGGGCACCCUGGCUGCCCAGGGUGGCCGAGUCCUUGGUGCUGGGACAGUGGCCCUUGAGGACCUGGCACGCUGCAUCACGGACUCUCCAGGGAGGACGCUGCCUGGAUGACCGUCCCCACAGAGGAGGGCAGGGGGCUCAUCUGGAGAUGGUUAGAAGGGGUGCGGGUCUCCCUGGGUGGUCUUCCUGGUGCUGCCCUGCCUGGUGCCUGUCAGCUGACCUGCACUGUGUCUGUGCCCGCCCGCUGCAUAUUCCUCAAGGCGCCUGAGGCCCGGUCAGGCUGUGUCCAACCAUGGCAGCUGCAAAUCCAUUCCUGGGGAGCUUGCGCUCAGCCAGCCUUGGCAGGGGGCAGAGGAUGGUGGUCUGUGCUCUGGGUAUUGGCUCUGGAUGGCUUAUUUGAGGGGUCAUGCCUGCUGACCCCUGCCCUAGGGGAGUAGUGGCAGCAGCAGAUGUUUCCCUGAGGGACACUGGCCUGGAGGGUUGGCCCUGGCCAGGGGCCCUGGAGCAGAGGGGGGAGGCUGAGGACAGGGCCCACCGCACACUGACCGGCCCAGCCUCCGGUCCUCACCAUGAGAUGGGUUGCUGAGGGGCAUCCCGGCUGUGCGGUUACCCGAAGAGCCCGUGGUCACUGCCUGGCCGGGGACAGGGCUCCACUGUCUGGCUGCUAGUCUGGGGCUGCGGGGACCGUGUUGGCCGCGGCCAGGUCCGUGCUGGUUCCUGCAGACCCACGGGGCCUCCGGCUGCUCCGAAUCCUGCAGCCCCUCCUCGGACUUGGGGCCUCCACCAUGAGGGGGCUGCUGGGCGAAGUCUCCGGUGUGGUGGGGCCUGUGGAUAGGUUUUCAUGACUGGCCUGGGGCAUGGUGGGCCCCAUCCGCUAAUGCUCACCCUGCUUCAGGCCUGCACAAAAUCCGCCAAACGUCCGGGGUGGGGGGGCCGCUGUGGCUCCCGCAGGGCUGUGUCGGGCAGACCAUCUCCUGGACCGGGGCCCGUCCUCGGGCUGUCACCGGCUUCUGAGGAUGCAGGGCGAGGGCGUGGGGGUGUCUGCGGGCUGGGAGCGCGGGCGCUGCACCCUCUGCUGGGGGCCCGCUUGGGGACUGGGGUUUGUGGCCUGGAGAGUGUCACCGUGGUACCAGCUACCGCUGUAGCACCGUGACACAGACAGGACCAGAAACCUCCCGGCUUGCUGGGGCCUCUCUGAUGGGGUGGGGGUGGCCGGAGCUCUGUGGGUGAGGAUUCCGAGGGGGCUUCCAGCCCAGUCUGCAGUCACGUUGAGCGCCCUGCGGGUGGGUGGGCUCUGAGGCAGAGGCCGGCUGCCCCCCGCCCACCCUGCCUGGAGCAGCUCCAGCUCUGCGGCCUCAGCCCUGCUUCUCUCUGGGCCCCCUGGGCAUGCUGGGUCCGUCCCAUCGGUGAGCGGUCUGCUCUCAGCCCUGCUGGCUGGUCACUGCAUCAGUGGGAGUGGGAUUCCCGAGGGCAGAGGGACAGAGGGCUGAAGGAGGGGCUCUGGGUCUGUCCAGAAUUACAGUGGGGGGGGUCAGUGCCGAAUCUCCCCCUGCCUGUUCCCCCAGGUGUGCGGUGGGGGCUGGGCUGGGUGCAGGGGCGUGGUGUCCUCAGCUGAGCUCCCCCUGCAGCUGCCCCAGCCACUCCCCUGCCUCUGUAGCACCCUCUGCACCUGCCCUCCACUAGGCAGGUGGGACCUGGGAGACAGGCUAGUCCCCCAGGGCUCAUGGAGAGCUCAGGGGGAGUCAGCUCAGCCCCAGGUCAGGUCCCAGGCCUGACCGCCCCCAUCCCAGGCACUGCCUGGCAUUUGUUCUGAGGCUCAUCCCUGUGGUAUUGGGUAUCCUCACUGUGGUAGAGCCCUGCUCCGAAUCCUUGGCAGCGUCCCCUCCCCAGAGGGAGUCCUGGCACAGCAAGGAUAGAGGAGGGGAGAGCAGGUGGAGCAGGCAGAGGAUGUGAAGCUGGGGGCCAUGGGCAGGGGGCUCUCCAGAGAGGACCUGCUAGCCAACCGUCCCCCCUGCCCACCUGCCCAGGCCUGAGCCCAGGGUGCAGUGAGGGCCUCCCGUGUGUGGCAAGAGGUCCAUUCUAUCCCCCUGUCCUGGGGGCAAGACAGGGCAGGCAUGAAGAUAGGAGGUGGGUAGGGGCCAGGCCAGCAUUGUGCACAUCCUCUCCCCACAGGAUGCUUGCACUGGACCCCGGCACUCAGUCUGCUGCGUCCCUGGGUCUGCCCUGCGCUGCCUGGUGCUUGCGACAGGAGCUGACUUGAGCUCACCAGCCCCCUAUGACCGGGGGGAGGAGGGGAGGACAGCAUGAGGGUACAAGGCCCAGCCCGUAGUGGGGGCCAGUGGGCCUGGCGAGGACAGCUGGUUUUGAACACAGGCCAUGUCACUGUGGGAGGUACUACUCCAGUACCCACAGUGACAGAGGCUCAGACAAUAUGGCCUGUCCCCAGGGCCUGGGGGAGGGCCCAGCUCACAGCUGCCCACCCCAUCCUGGUGGAGGCCAGGGCCCCUUCAGCCUGCCUUGGAGAGACAAGCUGAGGCAUCUGUCACCUGGGCCGCUGAGUGCAGGUGGGCUGGGAGAUGGGGCCUGAUUGAGGAGACGCUGGGUCCCCCUGGGGUCCUGACCCUGGCUCACCUGCAGUUGAUGGAGAAGAGCCUGGCAUCUCCAGGAGAGGCCCCUGGGGCCUGGUGCAGGGGGCACUAGGGCAGGCACAGGGCUCUGGGCACCCCCCCACCCCGGGCUCCCAGCCUUCUGCAUAGCUGGGUGGGCCUGCCCAGGGCCUCGGUCCCCGCACUGGGGAGGGGAUGCUGACGGAGCCUCUACAGAGGGACAGAUGCGCAGAGAAAGGGUUGACUUGAGCCAGGCCCAUGGAGCCCAGCCUGGGGGCUCUGCACUCACUGUCCUUGGGGGGCAGAGGGGCUGCUGCGCUUGGGCUCUCUGUGCACCGAGGCCUGUGGUUUCCUCCUUGCCUGGCCCCAACACAGCCCCUCUGGCCACACUGGACGCGGCCUCAUCAUUUAGAAUCAGUCAGACCCGGAGGCCGUCAGCACAAGGGGCCCAUCCCCCAGAGCCCAGAGUCCCAGAUUCAAAGGGGUCAGAGGGUGGGCCCCAGGGGGCAGAGGGCCCUGGUUGGUGCUAUGGGAGGCAUCACUGUGGUACCCGUCGUCAUCUAGACCACUGUCUGAUGCCCCGUGACAAUAACCCGGGCCCGGCACCUGGAGGCGGGGCUGGCAGGAGGAGCCUCCUCAGGAAAGGGGAUGUCCGGGGGCCACCAGUGCUGUGGAGACUGGGAGCUGCCCUGCAACCCAUGCCAGUUGCUGGGGUGGGAGACUGAGGCUCCAGUCCGCAGGCCCUGGGGUGGACUGGGAGGGGAGAGGCAGCACCCAGGAUGCCGGGGUCCUGCAAGGUGGACGCCACAUCUUUGAUCCCCUUGUCUGUGGACGCCAGGCCUGAGGCACCUGGCCAGGCUGGACAUGGAGGUGUGCGGUCUGGUGCAUUGGUGGGGCUCAGACCUGCUGCCCCAGGGCGGGGGUCGGGUGCUGGCUGGUAGAAUCCCUGCCAUGCUGCGGCCACCCUCCCAGGAAGGUCCACCAGUGGACUCCCUGCCCCAGGAACGCAGCCCCUGGGGAGAGAAGCCUGACAUGGACGAAGGAGUGUGGAGGAGGGGCAGAGCUGGGGGGACGGCCGUGUGCCUGAGAGCCAGACGAGGCCCCGGACAGUGUCGGGCCCCCGGAGCCCAGCAGCACACUGCACCUCCUGGCCAUGAUCAGCACAACAACCGACACCCAGAGCCUGCGCAGCCCACGCCCUGAGGUAGAGACCCUGGACUCCGCGGCCGGGACAGGGACAAGACCCACCGCCCUCAGGAUGGCAGGGGCCGUGAUGUGCUCCAUCUCCCGUGAACCUCCCUCUGCCUCGAACCUCAGGGAGCUCCGAGUAUGGGCCGAGCUCCAGCGGCCACUCCUCUUAGCCUGCCCAAGGAUAUCUGGGGGUGCUGCCCAUAGGGAGCUUGACCCCUGAGAGGUGGCCACUGGAGGCUUGGUCCUUCCUGACUCCUGCCGUAGCGCGGAGAGCCGUGUCCAUGCCCGCCACCUUGCUGGGUGUUGUGCCACCAUUCCCGGCCCAUGAAGGCCCUGGCUAUGGGAGGACAUUGUAGGUUGACACAAGCCCAUGGGCUGAGCUGGCAACUGCUGGCUCUGGAGGCCCAGGGUCCCGGCUCUGACCCUCAGGAGCCAUGCUUGAGGGCCCCGGGUUCCAGCUGGUUUUCGCCGCUGGAUCUGUCACUGUGGUAGCCACCGUAGUUACACAGUGGGACGUUCCUUGUCAAAAAGCCCAGGCGGGCGGCAGAAGGAGCCCUGCCCUGCCGGAGGCCCCUGGUCCUGGUGCCUCACUGGGUCUGUCGGCACAGGUGUCCCGUGCACCUG
Molecule: long non-coding RNA, 4502 nt
Organism: Ailuropoda melanoleuca (giant panda)
Lineage: Eukaryota; Metazoa; Chordata; Mammalia; Carnivora; Ursidae
Exons: 3
Source: RefSeq, a predicted model, not a curated record